UGAUAUCCAUUAAGUAAGCCGAGAGAGAUAAUAUAUUUGACAAUUACCGGACAUAGAAUAGAUAUGAUCAACAGCGGGCAUGUAUACGCCAGAAGAAGUUAAUACUUGGAUGUCGCUAGAGGUCGUUCAGAUUGUAAUUUUAUUAAGUGACUAGAUUUAUAAAGUACCAUGCAAGUGAUUACGCAUGUGCUGAUGUACACUUUCACCUUCUGAACUCUACCUGCAUGAGUUUUUCAGCACGAGCAGUACGCGGCAUUGUCACCAGAGGGACGUAGCGGAGUUCAGUUUCUCCCGUUUCUCCUAAGAAAAAUAUCACUCAACAAAGGCACAACAUUGGAUUCAAACUUAGAAGACAAAUAAACGAAAAAUGCAUAUAAAAAUUUGUAACUAUGUAUUAAAAAGUUUUAAU
Long non-coding RNA from Acromyrmex echinatior (Panamanian leafcutter ant), 409 nucleotides. NCBI's taxonomy places the organism in Eukaryota, Metazoa, Arthropoda, Insecta, Hymenoptera, Formicidae. The record is from RefSeq and is a predicted model, not a curated record.